CUGUUUUCAACUCUCUAGAGACAGCAGGAGCGGUAGAGAUACUCUCAAUGAUCGGCUAUGAAAAGCCAACUGACAUUUACUCGAGGUGCUGACUUGUUGCACCCUCGACAACUACUGUGAUUAUUAUUAUUUGACCAUGCUGGUCAUUUAUGAACAUCUUGGCCAUGUUCUGUUAUAAUCUCCACCUGGCAUAGCCAGAAGAGGACUGGCCACCUCUCAUAGCCUGGUUCUGCUCUAGGUUUCUUCCUAGGUUUUGGCCUUUCUAGGGAGUUUUUCCUAGCCACUGUGCUUCUACACCGGCACUGCUUGCUGUUUGGGGUUUUAGGCUGGGUUCCUGUACAGCACUUUGAGAUAUCAGCUGAUGUGAUGCCUCCCUCACUGGUGUACUGGCCCAUUCAGUCUCCAGGAAGAACACAGUACCCACCCCUGAGAGGCCACCGUGUUGAGGAUCAGCGUGGCAGAUGUGUUGUUGCCUACCCUUACCACCUGGGGGCGGCCCAUCAGGAAGUCCAGGAUCCAGUUGCAGAGGGAGGUGUUAAGUCCCAGGGUAGCCUUCCACAAGCUUCCCACAAUAAGUUGGGUGAAUUAUGGCCCAUUCCUCCUGACAGAGCUGGUGUAAAUGAGUCAGCAGAGACAAUUAAAACGUCUGCGACCUACUCUGGUCCCAUCCUUACAACUCACCUCCUCCGUUCUUGUAGCAGAGGUAAGGAAAGCGCCACGUUACCCAGGCCGAUGAUGGGUCCCAUCACAGACGGGAUGAACUCUAGUUUGUUGCCGCAUUGGCCCCUCUCUUGCAUCUUCUCCUCUGACUGGAGCUGAGGGACAGGGACCAGGUCCUUCAACAUGCUGCUGUUCCUGCCAUUUGAGAGUGCCGCUUUAACUAUUUCAAGCAAUAAAAACAUUUUGGCUAUUUUCAAG
Molecule: long non-coding RNA, 918 nt
Filed under: Salmo salar (Atlantic salmon)
Lineage: Eukaryota; Metazoa; Chordata; Actinopteri; Salmoniformes; Salmonidae
Description: lncRNA (ENSSSAG00000121896.1, ENSSSAG00020047010.1)
Source: RNAcentral